AAGUCGUAACAAGGUUUCCGUAGGUGAACCUGCGGAAGGAUCAUUAUUGAAUGUCCUUGAUGGGUUGUCGCUGGCCCUUGUAGGCAUGUGCACGCCUGUCUUGACUCCAUUCAUCCACCUGUGCAUCAUUUGUAGUCUUUUUGGGGGCUGAGGCAGUGAUAGUCAGUUGAGAGACUGGAUCUGAGGAUUGCGCAGUGCGCUUAGUAUGAGCUCUCCUCUUGGCCAUGAAAUCUCCCUCGAGGGACUAUGUCUUUUAACCACAAACUAGUAGUAUGCAGAAUGCAAUCAAAUGGGCUAUUGUGCCUAUAAAAACUUUUAUACAACUUUCAGCAACGGAUCUCUUGGCUCUC
This 350-nucleotide unclassified non-coding RNA is filed under the name Leucoagaricus infuscatus. Its description in RNAcentral is "partial internal transcribed spacer region". The stretch from base 1 to 46 matches the Rfam family "Eukaryotic small subunit ribosomal RNA", at positions 1786 to 1831 of the family's 1831-position model. Lineage: Eukaryota; Fungi; Basidiomycota; Agaricomycetes; Agaricales; Agaricaceae. The record is from RNAcentral.